GCCGGGCGUGGUGGCGGGUGCCUGUAGUCCCAGCUACAUGGGAGGCUGAGGCAGGAGAAUCGCUUGAACCAGGGAGGCGGAGGUUGCAGUGAGCCGAGAUCGUGCCAUUGCACUCCACCCUGGGCGACAGAGCGAGAUUCUGUCUCAAAAUCUUUUUUUUUUUGAGACAGAGUCUCGCUCUGUCGCCCAGGCUGGAGUGCCGUGGCACGAUCUCACUGAAACCUCCUCCACCUCCUGAUUCAAGUGAUUCUUGUGCCUCAC
RNAcentral lists this small RNA (261 nucleotides) under Pongo abelii (Sumatran orangutan). RNAcentral describes it as "Metazoan signal recognition particle RNA (ENSPPYG00000035220.1)". The record is from RNAcentral. Lineage: Eukaryota; Metazoa; Chordata; Mammalia; Primates; Hominidae.